RNAcentral lists this ribosomal RNA (507 nucleotides) under Fusarium culmorum. Its description in RNAcentral is "eukaryotic LSU rRNA". The stretch from base 194 to 347 matches the Rfam family "5.8S ribosomal RNA". Lineage: Eukaryota; Fungi; Ascomycota; Sordariomycetes; Hypocreales; Nectriaceae. The record is from RNAcentral.
AGUCGUAACAAGGUCUCCGUUGGUGAACCAGCGGAGGGAUCAUUACCGAGUUUACAACUCCCAAACCCCUGUGAACAUACCUUAUGUUGCCUCGGCGGAUCAGCCCGCGCCCCGUAAAAAGGGACGGCCCGCCGCAGGAACCCUAAACUCUGUUUUUAGUGGAACUUCUGAGUAUAAAAAACAAAUAAAUCAAAACUUUCAACAACGGAUCUCUUGGUUCUGGCAUCGAUGAAGAACGCAGCAAAAUGCGAUAAGUAAUGUGAAUUGCAGAAUUCAGUGAAUCAUCGAAUCUUUGAACGCACAUUGCGCCCGCCAGUAUUCUGGCGGGCAUGCCUGUUCGAGCGUCAUUUCAACCCUCAAGCCCAGCUUGGUGUUGGGAGCUGCAGUCCUGCUGCACUCCCCAAAUACAUUGGCGGUCACGUCGAGCUUCCAUAGCGUAGUAAUUUACACAUCGUUACUGGUAAUCGUCGCGGCCACGCCGUUAAACCCCAACUUCUGAAUGUUGAC